Molecule: non-coding RNA, 1779 nt
Organism: Xyrichtys novacula (pearly razorfish)
Lineage: Eukaryota; Metazoa; Chordata; Actinopteri; Labriformes; Labridae
Source: the annotation of a GenBank genome assembly
AUACAAACAACAAUUUCAGCAUGACAUGCCUGUUUGGCGGCGAUGGUGGUGCCUGUUGCUCCUGGAGAACAAUUCUUUGAACAGGUAGACAGUUUAAGUAAACUAGAUGUCCUAAUUAACUGGAAGACAAUCAAUAUAUUGUACUUAAAGACAUAUUGUCAUUACAGUUGUGGGAAAAUCUUCGCCCACUGGACCAAAGAAUGUCAAGAGCUCAUUGCUGGAAAGCAUACUCCGGUCUUCAGUCUAAAGAGGAAGGCAGAGCAGCAGGACAUAGAGGUUAGAAAAUUGCCUUGUAAAAACAGUAUUAUCUCAGUGGGAGUCCUUCAAAAUGCACACAGUUGUAUGGAUCAACAUUGUCUCGAUGUAUUUGGUAAUUGAUGUUACUUUUCAAAUUGCCAUGUCAAGGAAACCAUGACGCAGACGGUAUCGGAUGUCCAAAGGAUGUGCAUGGCAGAUUCAAUGCAAUUCUGUGUCUACCAGACAUCGAACAACACAGGAGAGAGGUGUGUUGCAGACUCAAUUUAAUAAAUGCAAUUAUCGGGGCCUAUUCAGUGAUUUUCCAUGAAGUGACCACUUUUACAUAUAGUUUAAAUGCACGAAUCAUGCAGGAAAAUUAUUUAUACAUUCAAAUGUGCUGCAGAGGUAUAAUCAAUUGGACAGCGUGUUUGUUUAAUAUUAUGUUUGUCUCUCAUUUGAUCAGUUUGCUUUACCCUGAGGUAAACGUCAUAAAAUGGGUCCAGUGCAAGACGUGCAGGGGCUGGCUGCAUCAGGAUUGUGCUGGGAUUGAAAUGGAGCCGUUUGACAGCGGGUGCGAGGACUCCAUUGAGCAUCCUCGGUAUAACAUAAUUUAUCAAGGAAACAUAGUAUCAGUCAAAAAUACGAGGCUCAAAGGAUGAAAAAAUGAGGGCUUGCUCUUUUCUUAUUUCUCUGCAGGAUCAAGGAUGCUGUUGACAGUUGAGGAAUUCAUGCUGUCUUUUCUAAGACACAGAUCAAGGUUGCUUUUGAAUGCACUAUCAGUUGUUAAAGCCACCGUUUCUUUUUCAGAUGAUUACAUUUUUGUCUCUUGCUCUUUGGUUUCAGACAUUACACGAUGAUCUACUGUCUGGAAAGAUCAGCUCCAACAGAAUGUUCCUUUGGAGGAAUCCCGCCACCUCACUCCGACUAAAGCAGCAUCUUAAGAUAAGGACACUAAGUUGGAGUGAGCAGCGCGUAAGUAAAAAUGCCAUCCAUCAUGAGUAUUUUUACUCUCAGGGGUGUUACAUUUGUAAGGUGUUUACUUUCUGUGUUUUUCUUCAAUAGAUGUUCGAGCUCCUGCGGUUUAUUGAGGUGGCAACAAACAUUUCUAAAAAAAUAAAGAGAGGCGAGAUUUAUCUGCUUGAUUUCGUUUUUGACGUCAUGCUCCCAGAGGUGAGUAGAUCAAACUAUAUAGCUUGCUUUGAAAAUUGAUGAUAUUGUUAAGAGGUUGUUCUUAUUCAUUUGGAAAGCUCAAGAACAACAAUUAACCCAUACUGCAUAACUUCAAUUGUUCACAUUAUUUGACUGUUUUUCAGCUUUUGAUCAAAGCACUGAAGGAGCAUGGCAUCAACCGGUUCAGAGCAGAGCUGAUGAUGGCCUGUGGCAACGUGUUUUAAGCCCCCCACCACACCGACGGCAGUGCUGAAUUUUGUAUAUAUAUAUUUUUUUUUACUGUUCACAAUUUUGUUUGGAAAAAAUUAAAGAAAUCUUCAAAGCAGUUGUAUGACAAUUUCCCAUUUCUUUACACAGUCUGUAAUGAUAUCG